This 180-nucleotide ribosomal RNA is filed under the name uncultured bacterium. RNAcentral's name for it is "partial 16S ribosomal RNA". It matches the Rfam family "Bacterial small subunit ribosomal RNA", at positions 338 to 509 of the family's 1533-position model. The record is from RNAcentral.
CCUACGGGAGGCAGCAGUAGGGAAUCUUCGGCAAUGGGGGCAACCCUGACCGAGCAACGCCGCGUGAGUGAAGAAGGUUUUCGGAUCGUAAAGCUCUGUUGUAAGUCAAGAACGGGUGUGAGAGUGGAAAGUUCACACUGUGACGGUAGCUUACCAGAAAGGGACGGCUAACUACGUGCC